This 207-nucleotide long non-coding RNA is filed under the name Oryctolagus cuniculus (rabbit). RNAcentral describes it as "lncRNA (ENSOCUG00000030186.1)". The record is from RNAcentral. Lineage: Eukaryota; Metazoa; Chordata; Mammalia; Lagomorpha; Leporidae.
GUACAAUCGACUACACUAAAUGUGAUCUCUAGGUAGGGAGCCAGGAAGAAGAGAAUCCAGGACAAAACUUCUUGGGGUGCCAUGCAUACGGAAGAUGCUUAGUGAGUUCUGGAAGAUCACCCCAGGUAGCAGUCUCACAACAUCAAUCUAUUGAUUCUCACUGCACGAGGUGAAGAAGAAACCACCAGUUCAGCCCGAUCAGUAGAA